This 209-nucleotide non-coding RNA is filed under the name Peptacetobacter hiranonis. RNAcentral's name for it is "Clostridium hiranonis T-box sequence". It matches the Rfam family "T-box leader". From Rfam's summary of the family: Uncharged tRNA acts as the effector for transcription antitermination of genes in the T-box leader family. T-boxes are found upstream of many aminoacyl-tRNA synthetase genes and some amino acid biosynthetic genes usually in Gram-positive bacteria. The record is from RNAcentral. Lineage: Bacteria; Bacillati; Bacillota; Clostridia; Peptostreptococcales; Peptostreptococcaceae.
GUAAAUCCUAAGACUGGAGAGAGUAGUCGGGUUGAGUUUGAUACAGAGAGUUGCAAGUAGCUGAGAUUGCAGCAUAAAUAAAUUCGGUGAAUGGGUCCACGAGGAGAUAGGUGAAUUAUAGUAGCCGAACCGUCACUGCACGUUACGCAGAAGAGAGAUACACGAUAAGUGUAUAAUUUAGGUGGUACCGCGGUAAUAUCGUCCUAGUG